UGACGUAGCCAGCUCAGUGCCGCUGCAGAUUACUGAUGAUUUUAUGUGUAUUGUUCAGUACAAAUUUAGUAUGUUGGUUUGGUCUGGUGACUGGUCACAAGAUGAUGUCAUCCAUUAGCGCAGGGUGUACAGAGGUUCCAAUUCUGCAGCUGGUGUGGACAGGGUUAUAAGCCACCAGCACCUGUAUGAGACGUUCUCAUAGAUGUCAGCAGGAUGACAGUGCAGGCGGCAGCAGGACGGGCAGGAGGUAAGU
Molecule: long non-coding RNA, 253 nt
Organism: Pseudophryne corroboree (corroboree frog)
Lineage: Eukaryota; Metazoa; Chordata; Amphibia; Anura; Myobatrachidae
Exons: 3
Source: RefSeq, a predicted model, not a curated record